GAGCACCUAGUUUAAUAGAGAAUGACAUUUUGCAAAAAUGUUGGUAUUAUUUUUUUGGUGUUUU
RNAcentral lists this transfer RNA (64 nucleotides) under Eudiplozoon nipponicum. RNAcentral describes it as "tRNA-Cys". Lineage: Eukaryota; Metazoa; Platyhelminthes; Monogenea; Mazocraeidea; Diplozoidae. The record is from RNAcentral.